Molecule: ribosomal RNA, 272 nt
Filed under: uncultured bacterium
Lineage: Bacteria
Description: partial 16S ribosomal RNA
Rfam family: Bacterial small subunit ribosomal RNA
Source: RNAcentral
UACGUAGGGGGCAAGCGUUGUCCGGAAUUAUUGGGCGUAAAGCGCGCGCAGGCGGCUAUUUAAGUCUGGUGUUUAAUACAAGGGCUCAACCCUUGUUCGCAUCGGAAACUGGGUGGCUUGAGUGUAGGAGAGGAAAGUGGAAUUCCACGUGUAGCGGUGAAAUGCGUAGAGAUGUGGAGGAACACCAGUGGCGAAGGCGACUUUCUGGCCUAUAACUGACGCUGAGGCGCGAAAGCGUGGGGAGCAAACAGGAUUAGAUACCCCUGUAGUCC